Molecule: ribosomal RNA, 497 nt
Filed under: uncultured bacterium
Lineage: Bacteria
Description: partial 16S ribosomal RNA
Rfam family: Bacterial small subunit ribosomal RNA
Source: RNAcentral
GAUGAACGCUGGCGGCGUGCCUAAUACAUGCAAGUCGAGCGAACGGACGAGAAGCUUGCUUUUCUGAUGUUAGCGGCGGACGGGUGAGUAACACGUGGAUAACCUACCUAUAAGACUGGGAUAACUUCGGGAAACCGGAGCUAAUACCGGAUAAUAUUUUGAACCGCAUGGUUCAAAAGUGAAAGACGGUCUUGCUGUCACUUAUAGAUGGAUCCGCGCUGCAUUAGUUAGUUGGUAAGGUAACGGCUUACCAAGGCAACGUUGCAUAGCCGACCUGAGAGGGUGAUCGGCCACACGGGAACUGGGAAACGGUCCGAACUCCUACGGGAGGCAGCAGUAGGGAAUCUUCCGCAAUGGGCGAAAGCCUGACGGAGCAACCCCGCGUGAGUGAUGAAGGUCUUCGGAUCGUAAAACUCUGUUAUUAGGGAAGAACAUAUGUGUAAGUAACUGUGCACAUCUUGACGGUACCUGAUCAGAAAGCCACGGCUAACUACGUG